GGCCUCUGGGUACUUGCCACAGGCUGUGUUCUCACGCAGCCUGCACAGAGAGAGGAGAAAGAGCAAACCCACCGCGUACACACCUCAGCCCAGGCCCUUUGCCUGAUCUGUAUUGUGAAGGGGGAAACAUGG
This is a small nucleolar RNA of Artibeus jamaicensis (Jamaican fruit-eating bat), 132 nucleotides long. RefSeq annotates it as small nucleolar RNA SNORA51. The transcript has a single exon. NCBI's taxonomy places the organism in Eukaryota, Metazoa, Chordata, Mammalia, Chiroptera, Phyllostomidae. The record is from RefSeq and is a predicted model, not a curated record.